UCUCAGUUCGGAUUGAGUCUGCAACCCGACUCCAUGAAGCUGGAUUCGCUAGUAAUCGCGCAUCAGCCACGGCGCGGUGAAUACGUUCCCGGGCCUUGUACACACCGCCCGUCAAGCCAUGGAAGCCGGGAGUGCCUGAAGUACGCGACCGCAAGGAGCGUCCUAAGGUAAAACCGGUGACUGGGGCUAAGUCGUAACAAGGUAGC
Molecule: ribosomal RNA, 206 nt
Filed under: uncultured bacterium
Lineage: Bacteria
Description: partial 16S ribosomal RNA
Rfam family: Bacterial small subunit ribosomal RNA
Source: RNAcentral